UAGUUUUUCUAAUAUUACAAUAUUUGAUGAGUUUAACUGUUGAUCAGCUUUAAAGAUAUAAGGGUUUGACUAACAGUAGUUCCUUAAACAUUUCCUUCUUUUUCUAUAGUUUAUAUGUUCUACAAUUCAUAAUGUAAUGGUACUCAUCAUCAAUGUUGUUUGUGUCACAGAGACGACAUAUUCUGUCUUCUCUGUGUAAAUCCUGACACCUUCUGGACUCAAUCGGCAACUACCACAUCUAUAUCUGCGUAAUAUAUGAAUUUAGAAAUGUAAAAAGGAGUUUUCUAAUUGAUAAUUCUUUUUGAAAAUAUGACAGCAUUAUGUUUUAUGCGAUUCUGCAUAAAAGCAAAGAAUUCUUCUUGAAACU
This 367-nucleotide long non-coding RNA is filed under the name Mytilus galloprovincialis (Mediterranean mussel). The record is from RNAcentral. Lineage: Eukaryota; Metazoa; Mollusca; Bivalvia; Mytilida; Mytilidae.